This 474-nucleotide long non-coding RNA is filed under the name Phaseolus vulgaris (common bean). RNAcentral describes it as "long non-coding RNA (PVUL_LNC003684)". The record is from RNAcentral. Lineage: Eukaryota; Viridiplantae; Streptophyta; Magnoliopsida; Fabales; Fabaceae.
AGCUAAACACAAGGGAGAGAAUUCAGCCCCAAUGGGUGAAAAUACUUAAACACAAAAUUGAGAGUACAUGUAGGACAUUCUCACAUAAAGGGAGAUAAAUUCCUAUUCCUAUGAUUAACAUUUGGGAUUAUCCUUGGCUUUUGAACAACAAAAUUGUAGCAAUUAAGGUAGGUUCCACACAAACUAGUUUUAUCUUUGAUAGAGGCACACAAAAUUGAGAGUACAUGUAGGACAUUCUCACAUAAAGGGAGAUAAAUUCCUAUUCCUAUGAUUAACAUUUGGGAUUAUCCUUGGCUUUUGAACAACAAAAUUGUAGCAAUUAAGGUAGGUUCCACACAAACUAGUUUUAUCUUUGAUAGAGGCACACAAAAACGGGGGAAAAGAAAAAAAAAAUGUAACCAAGAACCAAAAGAUAUUAAGCUACAUAUUGCGUACCAGAGAUGGUGUGGCCCUGCAGCCAUGCCUACUACACUG